This 125-nucleotide microRNA precursor is filed under the name Hordeum vulgare. RNAcentral describes it as "microRNA MIR1122". It matches the Rfam family "MIR1120/MIR1122 microRNA precursor family". The record is from RNAcentral. Lineage: Eukaryota; Viridiplantae; Streptophyta; Magnoliopsida; Poales; Poaceae.
AACAUACUCUCUUUGUCCGAAAUUACUUGUCGCACAAACGUAUAAAAAUGGAUGUAUCUAGAACUAAAAUACAUCUAGAUACAUCCAUUCCUGUGACAAGUAUUUCCGGACGGAGGGAGUAUAUA